UUUGAUUUCCUUUUUAGCACCUAAUUUAAGUAAUCAAAUUCUACUUAAUGCUUUAGGCUAAAUACUUUUUUUUUUUUCUUCUUAGCAACCACAACAAUAAAUACAGUAAUUAAUAAUCACCAUUAGCAACAACAAAGCCACCAGCAUCCACCACCACCACUAGCAGCACCAUCAUUAUUACUAGUAUUAACACCAUCACCAUUAUUGUCAUUACCUUACCCUAAACAAUUCAAAUAUCGUUUUUCAAAUUCAAUUAUGAUAGUUAUUAGACAAUAUGACUAAACCAUAUUUUAUUCAUCAGUUUUAAACUUUCAACACUUAUCAACUCAG
This 330-nucleotide unclassified non-coding RNA is filed under the name Hevea brasiliensis (rubber tree). The record is from RNAcentral. Lineage: Eukaryota; Viridiplantae; Streptophyta; Magnoliopsida; Malpighiales; Euphorbiaceae.